Long non-coding RNA from Sycon ciliatum, 3002 nucleotides. RefSeq lists it as uncharacterized. The record is from RefSeq and is a predicted model, not a curated record. The transcript is spliced from 21 exons. Lineage: Eukaryota; Metazoa; Porifera; Calcarea; Leucosolenida; Sycettidae.
GUGUGGCGAUGGUCAGUUCUCGAUCUUCGAACGGGCAGAAAGCUAAACAACAAGAUCAGGGUGGCGAUGGUCAGUUUUUCAGCUUCGAACGGGCAGAGAGCUAAACAACAAGAUCAGCGUGGCGAUGGUCAGUUCUUGAGCUUCGAACGGGCAGAAAGCUAAAAAACAAGAUUAGUGUGGCGAUGGUCAGUUCUCGAUCUUCGAACGGGCAGAAAGCUAAACAACAAGAUCAGGGUGGCGAUGGUCAGUUUUUCAGCUUCGAACGGGCAGAGAGCUAAACAACAAGAUCAGGGUCGCGAUGGUCAGUUUUUCAGCUUCGAACUGGCAGAGAGCUAAACAACAAGAUCAGGGUGGCGAUGGUCAGUUUUUCAGCUUCGAACGGGCAGAGAGCUAAACAACAAGAUCAGCGUGGCGAUGGUCAGUUCUUGAGCUUCGAACGGGCAGAAAGCUAAACAACAAGAUCAGGGCGGCGAUGGUCAGUUCUUGAGCUUCGAACGGGCAGAAAGCUAAACAACAAUAUCAGGGUGGCGAUGGUCAGUUCUUGAGCUUCGAGCGGGCAGAAAGCUAAACAACAAGAUCAGGGCGGCGAUGGUCAGUUCUUGAGCUUCGAACGGGCAGAAAGCUAAACAACAAGAUCAGGGUGGCGAUGGUCAGUGCUUGAGCUUCGAACGGGCAGAAAGCUAAACAACAAGAUCAGGGUGGCGAUGGUCAGUUCUUGAGCUUGGAACGGGCAGAAAGCUAAACAACAAGAUCAGGGCGGCGAUGGUCAGUUCUUGAGCUUCGAACGGGCAGAAAGCUAAACAACAAGAUCAGGCUGGCGAUGGUCAGUUCUUGAGCUUCAAACGGGCAGAAAGCUAAACAACAAGAUCAGGGUGGCGAUGGUCAGUGCUUGAGCUUCGAACGGGCAGAAAGCUAAACAACAAGAUCAGGGUGGCGAUGGUCAGUUCUUGAGCUUGGAACGGGCAGAAAGCUAAACAACAAGAUCAGGGUGGCGAUGGUCAGUUCUUGAGCUUCAAACGGGCAGAAAGCUAAACAACAAGAUCAGGGUGGCGAUGGUCAGUGCUUGAGCUUGGAACGGGCAGAAAGUCGGCGGCCGUCACCGAUGCUUGAGGGCUGGCCUCCGCCCGACUGCCCAGAAGCGUAUUUCGUUCAGUCAUGUAUGCCUGUGUUCUCGCCGGUUCCGUUUGCUCCACCAUCUCCGGCGACAUCAGGCUGCGUGCUCCAUCUUUCUCUCUGAUGCCCCUCCUGGGCCCACGUGAUCCCUGUGGCAGUGACUCUACAGUACAGGACAGGACAGGUGUGUGUGUGUGUGUGUAUGUGUGCGCGCAUACAUGUGCAUAUGUGUGUGUGUGUGUGUGUGUGUGUGUGUGUGUGUGUGUGUGUGUGUGUGUGUGUGUGUGUGUAUUAGUGUGGUAUGUAUAUGCUUGUGUUCUUUAGACUUGGUGUGCAGUUCGCUCAUCUCAUAGUCUAGCAGACAUGUUUCAAUCAAUGAUUUAAAAGAGAACAUCUCCUCUCGCAGCUAGAGUCCUCCUGGACCAGAGCUUGCCUGUGCAAAUCGUCUCGUCUACCAUUCCAAGCGAUGAACAUGGCUUCAUAGCGUGUUUUCCACCGUCUUUGCAAGUCACGAUUGCACUUACUGUGGUGUGAAAGAAUGCUACAGUUGUACACAUCCAGUUGCAGCUCAAGCCAGAGAGCAGCCAGCAUUCUGCUGGCGUAUGUGAGCAAAGGUUGCUGUUGGAAUUGUCCAUUGCAGAGAACAGCUUUACUUACCUGCCAUAUGUCACGUAAACCAGUCCGUGCAGCCGUUAGACCUGUGUUGAUGGAUGCAGCAGCUAUCCUGCAUUGUGACUAUAGACCUUUGAGGGUAUCAUGGAUAUGGAUUCUGCUCCUGCAAUAUUGCCCGUGAUCAUGGUGAUGGCCGCCUAGUAGCUAGCCCAGCAGAUGUAUCAGAACUAGCAGAUGCAGCAGCUGAGCCAGCCAUAGCUACCACUGCAACAGACCCAGCAGUAGGAGCAGUUGCCAUUGCAGCUAACACUGCAGCAGAAUACAGCGGCAAGAGCAGUUGCCAUGGCAACAACCACUACAACAGACACAGCAGCAACAACAGUGGCCAUAGUGGCAACAAACACAGCAUCUGCUGCACCAGACAGUGACUGUAUUCGUUUGAAAACUAGUGGGCAGACGGCUCACAGCAGCAAUGCCAAGCAUCAGUCAGAACGGCUCAGUCUUCAGCAGCAGUAAGCAGCAGUAAGCAGCAGUAAAUGGCAUGCAGUACACUUCACAAAGUGAGCACCUUAGCAAGAAAGAUGUUGUUUUUCUUCCUUUUUUCCACGCACCGAGCAGCAGUGGAAGUGUUAAAUCACUGUUUGCAUAUGCCAAUGGACUGGUCGAAGGAUGUGAGCCCAUGCUAUCCAUUAAAUCACUGAAAACCUUUUGACAUCUCUGCCUUUCUGUCAUACUUUGGCGAAAGCUUAAUUUUAGUUUCCACUCUCAGACCUAGAUUCCGUCUGUUGGAGUGCACAUCCAAGACGGGCUAUAGCUGAUAGCCAGUUAUUUGUAGAACGUCAGUACCGUCGUGCAAUGUUAUCGCAUGAGCUGAUUGUCAGGUAACUGGUGGUAGUGCACACUAUAACGUAACUUGUAGUUCCUUGGUCCUUUUCUUUACCUUAAAUUAUUUCCAUAUUAUUGGACUCAAGAGUGCUACGUUGCAGCUAGCCCAUAAUAAUGACAGCGCUGACUUUUUGCGUCCAGUUUUCAUAUGGAUUCAUACAUGUUUGGGUGGUUUUUCCUUCUCAGCAUUUUGACACUUCGUUCAACCUGUAGACUACGGCGAAUUAUGAUCGCAAAAUUGUGGAAUCAUGCUCCCAUGGAUGCUGGCACUAUGCUCGCAAACUCUUUAUAUUAUAAAAUUUGAUUUUGCGAGCGUUAUUUUUUAUGCUUUGUAACGGAUCCUUUGAAAGCUUUGGGAUGCGGGUAUAUUUAUUCAGUGUGUUGUAAUUGUA